CAGGUUCUCUCUGUUGCUACUCCAGCUGCUAAGUCUGGAAUGCAGAACCAUCAGCCUUUACAGCCUGGCUUCAGACAGAAGUAGCUGAGGAAGCACCAGAUGAGACAACGCCGAGGGCAAAGAAUGAUGGAUUAUAAGGGUAAGAGCAUUUCUCCCACCAAAAAAACCCACCAGAAAUAGAAAGAGCUCGAGCUCCUGUGAGCAGGAGAAUUUAGGGAAAGAGGGAAGUUCAGAAGGAAAAAGAGACUACCAUAUAAGUUAGGGCAUUUCUGGGUAUCCAAGAGUC
Molecule: long non-coding RNA, 286 nt
Organism: Empidonax traillii (willow flycatcher)
Lineage: Eukaryota; Metazoa; Chordata; Aves; Passeriformes; Tyrannidae
Exons: 3
Source: RefSeq, a predicted model, not a curated record